Long non-coding RNA from Neopelma chrysocephalum (saffron-crested tyrant-manakin), 3949 nucleotides. RefSeq lists it as uncharacterized. The transcript has 9 exons. The record is from RefSeq and is a predicted model, not a curated record. Lineage: Eukaryota; Metazoa; Chordata; Aves; Passeriformes; Pipridae.
UGGAAAAAGAAAUUUUUCAGCGCUGCUGCUGGACUAAAUCACCAAGUGCUGGCAGGCUGCCGGGGUUGUGUUGCUGGGCAGAUCAUCAGGUGUUGGCCAGUCACUGAGGGCUGCUCACACAGUAAAAAUCUUUGGUGGCUAGCUUCUUUGCUAAUGGAUUACACAGUGAACUGCGUGAAUCUGUUACACGUCUGUGAAUACUGUUUCCCUAGAUUGCAACACCAGCCCAAUUCUUUGCUCUGCUGAAGUCAUCCUAAGAGUUUACUUUACAUCGGCCUCAGGAAUGCCUUGUCAGCUCUUACUCCAUCAUCACAGCCUUGCAGAGAGGGGUGGAUGGCUGCAUCUGGGAGUCCAUCUAAAGUCGAACAGCCCACCACCUCAUCUUUCACCAGAGUCAGCAGGGAGCACAGGAUGUAAUUGUUGUGCAUUCUCUGAAUGGCAGCCCCCAAGAAUUCCCCCCAAGAUGAUCCAGUGGAGACCAAUGUGUGUUAGGAAGAGAAUACUUACUACAGAUCUUAGGAAGACCCACCUGACAGGAAUGAUGAUGAGAAGUCUCAACUGUGUCCACUAGAAACAAGAACAAAUGAUGAAAAGGAGUGGACGACAUGAACUUCCAUGACUAACAACUGCGCUAUCUGCACAGAUUUCUGCUACUUGAGCGAAUAGAGUGCCACUGCCAGCCACGGGUUGUCAUCCUCUGAGCAAAGCACUCCCAGAAGAGGAUUGCCGACGGUCAUUGGUGAGAAACACAAACUGAGGUUUUGCUUGUUGGCUGAGGUGACAAAAAAACUUUCUUGAGAUAUUAAACUACGUCCUUUGGAGAGCUACCAAGGCACUGUUAAUAAACAGCUUCCAAAAAGCUGUGUUAGAGACAGUAGGAUGUUGCUGCAAUUUCCAUGUGUCUGUGUGACCAACAGACAAUAUGCUGUCCUGCAAUGAAUUUGCUAUUCAGUGCCAGCACCAGAGAGAGAGAGGCUGAGUUCCCUUCCCCUGUAGCUCUUGUGCCCAUGCUGCCUGCCUCUCCAGGGAAUGACUGGACUCCAACAACAGGUCUGCCAGAAGUUCCAGCCCAUGUCAGUGAACUGAAUAACUCUCUCUUCUGAAAUAAAAAAUCCAAUACUUUUUGUUUCUUACUGUGUCUUUAAGCCUGUUAAACAAUGGUAUUUUCCUCACAUAGACUUUUAACAGGAAACCAAAACUGGAUUUUUUUUAAAAAAUAAAAGCUUUACUUUUCUUCAUUCUGAAUAUUUUUAUUCCUUUUCCCUCCCUUAUUUUUUUCUAUCUUUAAUAAAGGGUUUAAAAGAUUUGGUGUGGCUUAUGUUGCCACAGGAAUAAACAAGCAUUUGAAAUCUUGAACUCUGUCCAAAACUUGUUUAGCAAUAUAGUUUUGUUACAGUGACACAGUACCUUUAAUUCAUUUGACCCUCUGGAUCUGUUUAUUCUACUGAAAUUUGACUCAACAAAGUUAUCAUUCUUAUAUCAUUCUGCAAGACAACUCAUUUUAUGUUUGGAUACAAACAGCCAAAGCUGCACAAUCAACUUCCCCCCAACAUGCCAGUUUGCACUAGUGUGGCUGAAUGGAAAAAGAAAUUGUGGUGGCUUUAUAGAAACGCACCUAAUUUCUAUGGGAUGCUCAGUGAAUAUCAGAACAAUAGAUGGUGUAUUAACUACUAUGUCUGCUCUUUUUCCUUGGCAUAAGUAAUAUUUUUAUGUAAGGGGAUGGCAGUCUACUCUCGUUAUAUUAAGUAAAAUUCUUCAAUGGAUACCAUGAAGUAAUAAUUUUUUUUUUUUGCUUAUUUUUACUUGGUCUUUAGGAAACUGUUCUGUAAUAACAAGCUCUGGAACAAAAUCUAAAAAACAGGGCAUUUUUUGUGUUUGAAAUGUCUCUCCAUAUGAUUGCAAAUAAUAAAAUUAUGGAAAUAUCUUAUUCUCCAGUUACUCUAUAUCAUCCAAUCAGCAUGGUUUACUCUUCUCUCUUGCUAUAUACUUUUGUGUGCAGAUUUUAUUGUGUCUCUGUUUUGUUUUUAAUAUUUAUAUGUAUUUAUUAACAAGCAAAACAGAGAGCAACCAGUUUUUUAAGGAUGUACUGGAGUGAACCACGACAGGCAACUUAUAUUUAUUUCCAUGUUCAGGCUAUGGAAGGCUAGCAAGGGAUACCUCUUUGCACCUAAAUAUUUUAAGUCCAUUGGAAAAGAAUUACAGGUUGGUCAAAUAAGGUUUUUCUUCUCUUUUUUUUUUUCCCUUUCACCCCCAUUUUGUGUUAAGCAUUAGAAUCUGUUAAAAACAGCCCAUUACCUUAAGCCUUAAAGCAGUUCUUUCCCUGUUGCAGAGAAAUCUGCUUGAAACGUGUGCUGCCCUUAUGAUCUCCAGGCUCUAGCCUGGCCAAACAGAUGGAGUGUUUCUACCUGGGCUGUCACUGUGUUUUCCUCUUCUCCCCAUUGAGCUAAACCUUGCUCCCUAUGCAACCUGAGGGGAAGGACUUUUAACACAACAUAGAACAACAUCCUUGGCUGAGCAGGUUACAGAGAGAGCCCAAAAGCUCUCGGUACUUUUCAGUUCCAAUAUACCAGCUCUCAUGGAACCCAAAGCGUAGGUGUGCAUCUGCCUUGUUUCUUUCCACUGCUUGAUUACAGCAUUUCCAGCCUCUGCCAAGAUGGUGAUGGCCACAGGACUGCAGCCUGAAGAGGGAAGGACUGAAAUCCUGCUUUCACCAAGACCAACGCAUACAUGAGAGGCAAUCGCCGGUUGCUUAACAGAAAUAAAAAAGAAUGCACUUUUCGUCCUGGACUGUUCUUUGUAAUUUAAUGUGAUCUGCUGUCAACAAGAGGCAAAAUAAACCUCUGACACUCACUAAAGUUUCACACUAGAGAAGUGAAAAGAUAUCACCCGGGACUUCCUUUCCAUGUACAUUCACCUACUACCAUCACUACUGAUGCUGAUACUGGCUCACCGGGAUCAUCAUUUGCAACAGAGCAUCUGCUUGGUUCCUUCUCAGGUGAUCUUUGUAUUGCUAUUUUCCUGUGUUGACACCUAUUGGAGAAACGGUUUAUACUAGUUUUAGAAACCAUCUCAUUUGAUGAUCUUAUGACUUGCUAUUAUCCCUCACAAAUGUGUUACGUACUGUAUUUCCACAGUUUCCAUCUAUUAAAACUAAUCAAACAUGCUUCAGUUACUGCCUGUUUCCCCACAUACCCUUUCUAAUGGUGUUUUUGAUACUUUUUUGCCUUAGAGAACCUGUAGCAUCCUUCUUAGCUUUAAUUCUGGAAUAUUUGCAUGUUCUCAGCAUGUUAGCUCCUGUCACAAGGAAUUGUUAGUACAUGAUCAUAAGGUGUUGGAUAUCCCAACCAGUGUGUGUGGGAUCAGAGAAGAGAGGACAACAGGGUGCUAUCCUAUCACUUGGUAAAUCUUAGCAAAGGGAGAGAGGCAGCUGGGCUGAGAGGAAGAAGGUGUGCUUCAGGAGACUCUUUCUGGUGGUGUUUUUUCCCUACAUGUAGGUAGAUCAAGGGUUGAGAAUGCAUGGCAUGUCUCCUCCAUUGAUAUUCUUAAGCAGGGAAUGACAUUUAUCUCUUUGCAAUUCCUCAUUGUAAAGCUAAAUCUGCUCCCCCACCCUAAAACAACCUGUAGUAUUGUUCUCCUGUUAUCAUGAUAAAUUAUGGAUGUGAGACAUGCUGAAUCAUGACAAUGCUCCUUGUGCUGAAGAAAUUCCUCUUUUGUCAUGUACGGCUUUUUUAUAGUCCUAUUUAUUGUGGGACCUAUGUUAGAGUCUUGAUGGGAUUGCAAGGAAGCAGGAAGUGCACUAGCUGCUCUGGGAUUUUAAGCACAGAUAUCUGGAAUAUUCUGAGGAGUUUGUAUCAGUUUAUGAUUGACCAGCAACCAAUGUGUAAGCAGUGCUUUGUGUCUGCAUGCAUACUUCAUAAAUCACAGAAUCGGUUUGGGUUGGAAGGGACGU